This 503-nucleotide ribosomal RNA is filed under the name uncultured bacterium. RNAcentral describes it as "bacterial SSU rRNA". It matches the Rfam family "Bacterial small subunit ribosomal RNA", at positions 24 to 518 of the family's 1533-position model. The record is from RNAcentral.
UCAGGAUGAACGCUAGCUACAGGCUUAACACAUGCAAGUCAGGGGCAGCAGGACGAUAGCUUGCUAUGUUGCUGGCGACCGGCGCACGGGUGAGUAACGCGUAUCCAACCUUCCCCUUAGUAGGGCAUAGCCCGGUGAAAAUCGAUUAAUACCCUAUGUUGUGUCAUGAGGACAUCUGAAUAACACUAAAGAUUUAUCGCUAAGGGAUGGGGAUGCGUCCGAUUAGGUAGUCGGCGGGGUAACGGCCCACCGAGCCCUCGAUCGGUAGGGGUUCUGAGAGGAAGGUCCCCCACACUGGUACUGAGACACGGACCAGACUCCUACGGGAGGCAGCAGUGAGGAAUAUUGGUCAAUGGGCGUAAGCCUGAACCAGCCAAGUAAGCGUGCAGGAUGACGGCCCUAUGGGUUGUAAACUGCUUUUAUACGGGGAUAAAGUGAGGGACGUGUCCCUUAGUGUAGGUACCGUAUGAAUAAGGACCGGCUAAUUCCGUGCCAGCAGCCGC